RNAcentral lists this long non-coding RNA (6081 nucleotides) under Sus scrofa (pig). Its description in RNAcentral is "lncRNA (ENSSSCG00025025432.1)". The record is from RNAcentral. Lineage: Eukaryota; Metazoa; Chordata; Mammalia; Artiodactyla; Suidae.
CACUAGCUACAUAGGGGUGAAACCAGCCAACCUGGUGCUCUUAUUCACUGAGGUAACUAGCAUGAUGUUUGAUGGAUACAGCCUAGUAAGAGGGAUGUAAACUGGCGAGGCCGCUUGGGCCACCUCAUCCCUGGCUGUGUAGGGGUCUGUACCAGGGUAGAGGGAAGCAAUCAGGAAAGCUGAGUCACUCAGUCAUCAUUGACUUCCCAGGAACAGAGUAUUUGUUAAAGUAAAUGGGAUUCUGUGAAGCGAGAUGAGAGGUUGGAGGGAACACUGAAACUGAAAUUACCCUGCGGAGGAAGAGAAGACGGAGAAAGGGACAGGAAGGAAGAGUUGGAGGGGAGCAGAAACAAGCCAGGUCAGUUCUCAACUUUUCCACCAGGAAGAGAACGUGCAGGCGUGCACAGGUUCUUCUCAUUUUUCCUGAUUAGGUAUGCAAGGAAUUUUAUCUUCAUCCGGGCUUCAUUGACUGAGUUCUCCUUAAAUGUGGUGGUUCUGAAUUAAUUUCACGUGGGAAAAAAGAAAGCUGCAGUGAUUUUCCUAAAGAAUGUUGUUGAAGCACUAUCAUGAGAGGUCAACUUUUAAAUUUUACAUUUAGGAAAAAGAACUUCAAAAGCCCCAUGAAUUUGGAGAGAAAUGAAGUUCUAGUGAUGGCUACACCACAUACUAGUUCUCUAACCUGGGGCAAGUUAUUUAACCUUCCUAGGCUUCAGAUUCCUCCUCUGAGUUAGUAUUGUCAACCCUGACCCAUCCUUCCUCACUGGACUGCCAUGACGAUGACAGGCUGUAAAGGAUGUCAGAACCCAUUGUAAACUGUUAAGUUAGACAAGGUAUUUUUAUUUUCAACGGCAAGGGACAAGUUCAGGUAGUUAAAAUGUUUUCCCAAAGGACAGAAGCAGCAAAUUCUUAAUUUGGGAAUAACUAUAUAGCAUUUUCUAUUAACAAUCAUAUCAUGUAAUAAAUAUCAAUAUAAAUAACAGUAGCAUUUAUAUAAAUUAAGAAGAUCUAAUGAAGGCCAAUGAAUUGAUUUUUUUCCCCACAAGUAUUUGUGAAACAUUCUCUACAUGCAAGGAAUUAUGCUGAAUUCAUGAGAAAUGCCACAAUUAUUAUGACACAUCCACUGCCUUCCAGGGCCCACACCCCACUGUGAACACAAUAUACAGAGUAUUUGUUUUCUCUCAUUUAGCAGCUACUGAUGAACAUCGUGCCAAACAUUGUGCUAUUUACUGGUGAUGUACCUGGGACUAUCCUACCCAACAAUCUGAACCACAAUAAGUCUGAGAGUGCAGUGGGAUAUCUGAAGCAAAAGAAAGUAAUUACAAUAGUGAGCUCUUGAGGGCAUCUAGCUCAUGGUGGAUUAUACAUGAAAGCACAACUUUGAAUGAUAAGUAGAAUAAGUUUAUAGGCUAAACUGGUCAGCAAGUUACUUAUCCCCAUUUAAAGUAGAAGUGAGAAUAAAGGUAAUGAUCUAGAGAUAUAUAAAUGUGUACACACAGACACACCUCUGUGUAUAUGUAUAUAAAGCGGCCUUUAUUUUUGUUUCCCAUGGGCAUUGGAUUUUUUAAUAUAUGGUUUCUCUGUUAACAUGUGGUUAUAAUUUUUAAAGAAAUUCUAUAGAAUACAAAUGUUUGAAAAAUGCGGUGAAUCUAAAAUUACCUUUAAGUUUGAUAAAAUAGGGUCUCUGGUGUUGAGAAAGGAAACCUUAAAGUUACAUCCCACAUCCUCCUUUUAACUUUACAGAUGAGUUUCCCCCCUCCUGCCUCUAAAUUCAAAACAUGAUACAUCUGGCUCAGAGUCUGGAAAAUUGUUACAUGCCUGUGUAACAUUCUUAUAACCUAAUCGUUCUACAACUUUUCUCGCAGUUUAAUCAUUGGAGAAUGUUCUUUGUUUUUGUAGUCGCUGUUUCACAUAGUAACAGCUUGUUGUAUUUUGGUCUGUUUGCCAGAGGGAAGGUUUAUUUUUAAAACCCUGAACUCUGAAUUUUUCUUUAUUUUUUCAAGAUUGAAAGCAGCUGAAAUGCCUGGAGUUACAGGUUGAAGGCUGCUUUACAAUAUGUGAAGGGAAGCUUCUUUCCCUCCUCCCUUUGUGUGUGUGUGUGUUUUUAAAUUUUUUCCUAACAAAUGUCUUCUAACUGGUAGUUGUCUAAAAAUAGAAAACUGCCUAACUAAAAAUAGCCUGGCUCUCAGUCGUGCCAAGGAAAAUGGAGAGGAAUAGGCGUGGAAUAGAAGGCUGAGUAAUCCAGUUCUAUUCAUUCAGAGAAACCUUUGAGAAUGCGGGCGAUGAUAAAGUGCCCUCCAAAAACCACAGGCCUGACUCUCUCUUCAGACUUCUAGGUGCCAAUAAACAUUUUAGCCCCAGGAUACAUUUUUUUCUCAUAGGUUGUAAACAUUUUCUGAAAGACUAGGCUUUGUUUCACAGGACCUGACAAACUGCCAUCACUAACCAACUUUCCUAAGGUCUUAAAAAUUCAUAAUUAUAACAUGUAUUUUAAAAGAGCAUCUUAAAUGAAAGUAUUGUAAAAUAAUGUGCAUCAUGUAAUAAUUAAGAGGAAACUGUUAUAAUAAAAAACGCUUACUGCUUGCAAUUAAAUUCAAAACUUUAAAGAGUUUUGCAGAAAGAAAAUUAUUCCUGUGACUCAUUGUAGCUAAAGAGAGCAGCUGACUUAUUUUAGUUUGGUUCCCUUAGAUGUAAAAUUCUCGUGUUAAGCAUAUAAUCCCCUUGUUAUACCAAUAUUUAGUCUCUUUUUUACAAUUAUAGUUUUCAUCCAAGCAGAUUUUCACUUUUCAGUUUUUAAAUAGAGUGUAAACUACUUUGAAAAAUAACAUUUCGAAUGUAGGAUGGCUUUCAGUUUAGAGAAAUGGAAUUCUGAGUAAGCCAUUAAAAAAAUACGUAGGCCAGUUUUGCAAUGGUAAUGCUUUUUUUUUUUUUCUUCAUUUUGUUUUGCUUAAGUAAUCUGAAUAACCAGGUCAAACAUAGCAACAGGGUGUGGAAAUGUCAGCACAGUUCACGGGGUUAUAUGGGUCUGAGCAUUGUUAUGUUCAGUUCCUGUAAUGCUGCUGGUGAUAAGACUCUUGAGACAAAGAACAAUAAUUGAUGGAAAGAGACUUAAAUCACUGCGAGAAGAAUCAAGGUCCUUGUAUCUGUGUACAUCGACUCUUCUGGUCCCCUUCCGUCUUGUAAAGCAUUUUGUCAUCUUGCACGGUGGCCCCCUACUGCUCUUUGUAACGGAUGCAGACCACAAGUGAUUCCUUCAUGCCUCACACAGGGUGUAAUUGUGUCUGUGUGGUGUAUUAGUAAUUACCAAGCUGAAUUCCCAUAUUGUAUCUUUACUGCAGGCAUGGAAAAAUAGGACAUACGACCCUGCAUAGCCAUUUUCAACCUAGAUAGUGAGCUACUGAGAGCUACAUUCCCAGGACAAAGCCUUUUAUAUGCACACUUUUUGAACAAAAUUUUCAUUGUUGAGUCAUUUAUGCAGUGCAGGAUAAAUUCAGUUUUGGAAAUAAUUACUUUUGAUAAUAUAUUCACUUCUGACUUUUCAGCAAAGCCUUUGCAAUAUGGAAAAUAUUGCUGUUUUUAAUUGCUAAAAAUUCAUUUUAAUAUUGCUAGAUAUAUAGUGAUAUAAGCUACAAUAACUAUGCUAGACUGUCAUGUAGAGAGAGUAAAACACAAAUUACUAUAUAUAAAACAGAUUGUAUAACAUUCAUAAACAUUAAAUAAUAUAAUUGUUUGAGUAGCAUUUUUUACCUUAAGUAGUGAUAUUUUGAAACACAAUUUAUCCAGUCUUGGCCUAGCAUUGUUAAACUUCAGAAAAAGCUGACAACAAAAUUUUUGUUACAGUAAGCAGAUAUAAAUUAAUAAUUAAUUUCUUUGCUAUAAAAUUUGCAUCCAUUCUUUAUGUAUUAUGUAGCCAUUAUUGAUUUGACUAUCUCCUAGUCAUUGGGAAUUUGAAAUGUCUAUAGUAUUAUUUAUCUGUAGUAGAAGCCAAAAUAACACAAGCAGGAUGGUUUAAACAAGUGUGUUUAUUCUCUGCAUCCACUGCUUAUAAAGAUAGUUGAUAACCAUUAAGUACAAUAGCAAAGAAAUGAAUAUGACCAUCUCAUUAGUGAUAACCAAGGACAUUAGAUUUAUUUUGUGAAUAAUCAAAGCAUGCAAGAUUUUAAUUCCAUUUUUACCUCCAAAUUUAAAAGUAACCUUCCAACAUGUAUAUUUUAGAAGUUUAUCUCCACUUUGACCUGUUUUUAUUCUGAUAAUAAUUACUCACUACCUAGGAUGUAAAGAACUUCAUAGUGAUGCUAGGAGAGAUGUAAGUUUGGAAAACAUGAUCUGUGAUCUCAUAAAAUCUAUAGUCUAGCUAAGAUAGAAAAUAUACAUGUGAAUCAACCAGAGGAAACAACAUAACAGGCACUAUGAGAUAUUAGGCAGGCAGCAUAGCAUAAUGUUAGGGAGCCUCAGGUCCCAAACUAGGACUAAGCUGCCUGAGUUCUUCUCCCUCUCCACUGCUUACUAGUUGUAACUGCCUGGGCAAGUCACUUAGGCGCUCUUCAUCUUAAUUUCUGCAUUUGUAAGUGGGAGUUAAUAAUAGUAGCUAUAGUACAUAGUUAUCAUGACAUUUAAGUGAUUGAACAUUUUCAAAUGCGUGGAACAGGGUCUGGCACAAACUAAGGUUUAUGGUGAUGAUGAGGAUAUCUUGCAGUCAAGUAAUACUGAAGGAAGUAGAAUAUUUUAAAAGUCAGUAAAGGUGGCCACGAUAGGUAGUCACUUUUAGGCUUAAACAAGUUAAGUGCAGAAAGAUGGUUAUGAAUUGAUGAAAAGUUAUGUGAAGAUCCACAAGAAGAAAGGGACAAGGUCAUGGCAAAUAUUAUUUUGAUAAGAAUAGAAGAUUGACAUACAAAAGAAGCUGUUAGAAAGAUAGCAAGGGAAAUGAGGAAACAGGUAAAUCAAGUGCUCUAAAUGUUUGAAUGCAAUAUGGGAGGCAUGAGAAUGAUACCGAGAGGUCUCAAGCAGUAGAAUAGCAUAAUGACAACCAAUUCUUGAGGGAGAUUCUACUAGAAAACGUAUCUAGUUAGAAGCACGUAGUGGUAAAAUGUGCAAGUGCCAAAACAUUUUAAUUUUAUAAGUAACAUAUUGUGUACAUGCUAUAAAGCCUGAAACCUGUCAUUAUACUGAUAUAUUUUAAGCCAAUUAUGUCAUCCUAUGAACAUCUAAGAUUAUAAUAUGGAAAGUUGUUUUUGAAAUAUGCAUGUAAUUUCAGUUUGCACUGAUAAUAUGCACAUGCAUUUCUCUGAAGACGAUAUAUCAGAUGUAGCAUCUUAGAGGAACAAAUUAUAGAGACCUCAGCAGGUGUAUUCAAACCAUGCAAGCUUCUCUACAUUAAACUGAAGAAAUCAAAAUCAAUAAAUUUAGACAUUCCUAAUGAAGUAUACGCACCUUCAGUGACCACACAAACAUUCUGCAUGCAAUACUGCCAAAUAUAAAAACUCUAUCCUCACACUUUCACAUCUAUAAUCUUUUCAUUGUAAGAGCAUGGUGUGGAAGAAGGGGCAGGCACAAGUUCUAGAUGGUCAGACAAACCUGGUUUCUCCCACUUUCAUAAACUCCAUGCACUUGUUUAAGUUUCUUUGCCUCCACUGAAGUUUAGCUUCAAAAGCAGUAAAGUAGGGAUAAUCCAUCUCACUUUUGGUCUUUUUGUAAAAAUUAACUUUUAUAUUAACUUUUAUAUGUACAUAUAUAAUAAGCAUUAGCACUUCCUAGAAGCAUCAUGCCCAUAAACAUGACAUUUCCUUUCCUGCUGCUCCUCUGCAUGUUUAAAGCUAGACAGCAUUUUUAACUUCUUCCUCUCUCUCACACACAUGUAUUCACACCUUUGGACAUUGAAAUCUUCAGUGUAUUUCAUGAUUAUAGUCAAACAAAAUGGCACAUUUUGUAAAUUGCUGUAUAAUACAUGUAUAACUAUUUCUUGUGUAAUGAAGUUACGAAAUUAUUCAGAGGUAAGAGUUUCACUAUACAGAUUUUGAAACUAGGCAAAAGGUAGAGAAAGGUAAAAAACAAAGAGGUGUGACAGGUAACUCUGUUAACGUAAAG